GACGAACGCUGGCGGCGUGCUUAACACAUGCAAGUCGAACGGAAAGGCCCUGCUUUUGUGGGGUGCUCGAGUGGCGAACGGGUGAGUAACACGUGAGUAACCUGCCCUUGACUUUGGGAUAACUUCAGGAAACUGGGGCUAAUACCGGAUAGGAGCUCCUGCUGCAUGGUGGGGGUUGGAAAGUUUCGGCGGUUGGGGAUGGACUCGCGGCUUAUCAGCUUGUUGGUGGGGUAGUGGCUUACCAAGGCUUUGACGGGUAGCCGGCCUGAGAGGGUGACCGGCCACAUUGGGACUGAGAUACGGCCCAGACUCCUACGGGAGGCAGCAGUGGGGAAUAUUGCACAAUGGGCGGAAGCCGGAUGCAGCAACGCCGCGUGCGGGAUGACGGCCUUCGGGUUGUAAACCGCUUUCGCCUGUGACGAAGAGUGAGUGACGGUAAUGAGUAAAGAAGCACCGGCUAACUACGUG
RNAcentral lists this ribosomal RNA (468 nucleotides) under uncultured bacterium. RNAcentral describes it as "partial 16S ribosomal RNA". It matches the Rfam family "Bacterial small subunit ribosomal RNA", at positions 28 to 507 of the family's 1533-position model. The record is from RNAcentral.